GAUGAACGCUGGCGGCGUGCUUAACACAUGCAAGUCGAACGAAACACCUUAUUUGAUUUUCUUCGGAACUGAAGAUUUGGUGAUUGAGUGGCGGACGGGUGAGUAACGCGUGGGUAACCUGCCCUGUACAGGGGGAUAACAGUCAGAAAUGACUGCUAAUACCGCAUAAGACCACAGCACCGCAUGGUGCAGGGGUAAAAACUCCGGUGGUACAGGAUGGACCCGCGUCUGAUUAGCUGGUUGGUGAGGUAACGGCUCACCAAGGCGACGAUCAGUAGCCGGCUUGAGAGAGUGAACGGCCACAUUGGGACUGAGACACGGCCCAAACUCCUACGGGAGGCAGCAGUGGGGAAUAUUGCACAAUGGGGGAAACCCUGAUGCAGCGACGCCGCGUGAGUGAAGAAGUAUUUCGGGAUGUAAAGCUCUAUCAGCAGGGAAGAAAAUGACGGUACCUGACGAAGAAGCCCCGGCUAGCUACGUG
This 481-nucleotide ribosomal RNA is filed under the name uncultured bacterium. RNAcentral describes it as "partial 16S ribosomal RNA". It matches the Rfam family "Bacterial small subunit ribosomal RNA", at positions 28 to 507 of the family's 1533-position model. The record is from RNAcentral.